Molecule: long non-coding RNA, 319 nt
Filed under: Elaeis guineensis (African oil palm)
Lineage: Eukaryota; Viridiplantae; Streptophyta; Magnoliopsida; Arecales; Arecaceae
Description: long non-coding RNA (EGUI_LNC007396)
Source: RNAcentral
GGGACAAUUUUGAGGUAAACUGGCACUUCCUCUUUCUCGAAUGAAACUAAUGAAGAGAGAACAAAAGUAAAAUUUCCCACAUCACCAUUGGCCUUUGAAUGAUCAAACUCUUGGAAGUGAAUUUGUGAUGAUGAGUGCCAAAAUGUAGGGAAAACAAAGCCUUCUUCAUGAGGUAGAAGAGCCACCACCUAAGGAUUUCAGGUAGGACCAGGCAUUUGAAACCCCAUGCUGUUCUCACUAUUGACUACACUUUCAUUGACAUGGAAUGUUGAAGCUGGCAAGACACCUAAACCAAACCUACUUCUCAUCUACUUUUCAU